RNAcentral lists this unclassified non-coding RNA (242 nucleotides) under plant metagenome. RNAcentral's name for it is "partial contains small subunit ribosomal RNA, internal transcribed spacer 1, and 5.8S ribosomal RNA". The record is from RNAcentral.
UUUCCGUAGGUGAACCUGCGGAAGGAUCAUUAAAGAGUAAGGGUCUUCGGGCCCGAUCUCCAACCCUUUGUUUAACUACCAUGUUGCUUUUGGCGGGCCCGUCUCACGACCGCCGGAAGUUUGGCUUCGACCAAACUUCUGGCCCGUGCCCGUCAGUGGCCCCUUCAAAUUCUUGAUCAAGUAUGAUGUCUUAGUUAAAAACUUAAUAGUUAAAACUUUCAACAACGGAUCUCUUGGUUCUG